This 77-nucleotide transfer RNA is filed under the name Xanthomonas sp. GW. RNAcentral's name for it is "tRNA-Arg". Lineage: Bacteria; Pseudomonadati; Pseudomonadota; Gammaproteobacteria; Lysobacterales; Lysobacteraceae. RNAcentral also lists the same sequence under 1 other name. The record is from RNAcentral.
GUGGCCGCUGCGGCGGAUCGCGCUGCCUUCGGUGCGGCGCAGGAACUCGUCUUCGUCCCAGGCGAACAGCUGCGCCA